Molecule: ribosomal RNA, 270 nt
Filed under: uncultured archaeon
Lineage: Archaea
Description: partial 16S ribosomal RNA
Rfam family: Archaeal small subunit ribosomal RNA
Source: RNAcentral
CAGCCCCUCGAGUGGUGGGGAUGAUUAUUUGGCCUAAAGCGUCCGUAGCCGGCUGGGUAAGUCUCCCGUUAAAUCCAGCGUCUCAAGCGUUGGACUGCGGGAGAUACUGCCUGGCUAGAGAGUGGGAGAGGUCAGCGGUAUUCUGGGGGUAGGGGCGAAAUCCUUUGAUCCCCGGAGGACCACCAGUGGCGAAGGCUGCUGACUAGAACACGUCUGACGGUCAGGGACGAAAGCUGGGGUAGCGAACCGGAUUAGAUACCCGAGUAGUCC